This 31-nucleotide non-coding RNA is filed under the name Homo sapiens (human). The record is from RNAcentral. Lineage: Eukaryota; Metazoa; Chordata; Mammalia; Primates; Hominidae.
UCCAGACACUGCCAUAGUGCUGUGGUGCAGC